CAGGCUUAGAUACCCUGGUAGUCCACCCCGUAAACGUUGGGAACUAGUUGUGGGGACCAUUCCACGGUUUCCGUGACGCAGCUAACGCAUUAAGUUCCCCGCCUGGGGAGUACGGCCGCAAGGCUAAAACUCAAAGGAAUUGACGGGGACCCGCACAAGCGGCGGAGCAUGCGGAUUAAUUCGAUGCAACGCGAAGAACCUUACCAAGGCUUGACAUAUACGAGAACGGGCCAGAAAUGGUCAACUCUUUGGACACUCGUAAACAGGUGGUGCAUGGUUGUCGUCAGCUCGUGUCGUGAGAUGUUGGGUUAAGUCCCGCAACGAGCGCAACCCUCGUUCUAUGUUGCCAGCACGUAAUGGUGGGAACUCAUGGGAUACUGCCGGGGUCAACUCGGAGGAAGGUGGGGAUGACGUCAAAUCAUCAUGCCCCUUAUGUCUUGGGCUUCACGCAUGCUACAAUGGCCGGUACAAAGGGCUGCAAUACCGUGAGGUGGAGCGAAUCCCAAAAAGCCGGUCCCAGUUCGGAUUGAGGUCUGCAACUCGACCUCAUGAAGUCGGAGUCGCUAGUAAUCGCAGAUCAGCAACGCUGCGGUGAAUACGUUCCCGGGUCUUGUACACACCGCCCGUCAAGUCAUGAAAG
Molecule: ribosomal RNA, 640 nt
Filed under: Microbacterium sp.
Lineage: Bacteria; Bacillati; Actinomycetota; Actinomycetes; Micrococcales; Microbacteriaceae
Description: bacterial SSU rRNA
Rfam family: Bacterial small subunit ribosomal RNA
Source: RNAcentral